RNAcentral lists this unclassified non-coding RNA (389 nucleotides) under soil metagenome. RNAcentral's name for it is "partial contains 5.8S ribosomal RNA, internal transcribed spacer 2, and large subunit ribosomal RNA". The stretch from base 1 to 122 matches the Rfam family "5.8S ribosomal RNA", at positions 35 to 154 of the family's 154-position model. The record is from RNAcentral.
GAUGAAGAACGUAGCGAAAUGCGAUACUUGGUGUGAAUUGCAGAAUCCCGUGAACCAUCGAGUCUUUGAACGCAAGUUGCGCCCGAAGCCACUAGGCCGAGGGCACGCCUGCCUGGGCGUCACACGCCGUUGCCCCCCCAUCUACUCCUUCGGGAUUGCGGGGGGGCGGAUGAUGGCCUCCCGUGCGCCUAGCCGCGCGGUUGGCAUAAAUACCAAGUCCUCGGCGACGCACGCCACGACAAUCGGUGGUUGCGAAACCUCGGUUGCCCGUCGUGUGCGUUCGUCGCGCAUCGAGGGCUCGAAAAAAUGCUCGGCUCCGGCUGGGCUUUCAACGCGACCCCAGGUCAGGCGGGGUUACCCGCUGAAUUUAAGCAUAUCAAUAAGGAGGA